UACGGAGGGUGCGAGCGUUAUUCGGAUUUACUGGGCGUAAAGAGCAUGUAGGCGGUUUAGUAAGUCUGGCGUGAAAGCCCGGGUCUCAAACUCGGAAGUGCGCUGGAUACUGCUAGACUAGAGUGUCGGAGGGGAGAACGGAAUUCCUGGUGUAGAGGUGAAAUUCGUAGAUAUCAGGAGGAACAACGGUGGCGAAGGCGGUUCUCUGGACGACAACUGACGCUGAGAUGCGAAAGCGUGGGUAGCAAACAGG
Molecule: ribosomal RNA, 253 nt
Filed under: uncultured bacterium
Lineage: Bacteria
Description: partial 16S ribosomal RNA
Rfam family: Bacterial small subunit ribosomal RNA
Source: RNAcentral